UAUUUUUUCUCUUGUAAAUAGAAAUGUUUGUGGUUGUUGAUAUUUAAAUUCAUAAUUAAGAAAAAGAACUUUAUAUUUAAAAGAAAGCAUUACUAUAAAGGCUACAGAAAGGCUUGGGAAGGCUAGCAUGAUCUGUUACAAAAUGGAAGUGAAUGGAACAAGGAAAGUAAUAUAUGGAAUGUAUACUAUGAUAAUGCAAGUGGAAAGAAUAGCAACAAAAAACAAAAUCCAGAAAUUACAGCCAGGGAUCACCAUAAAGCUACCUUAA
RNAcentral lists this long non-coding RNA (268 nucleotides) under Monodelphis domestica (gray short-tailed opossum). RNAcentral describes it as "lncRNA (ENSMODG00000040956.1)". The record is from RNAcentral. Lineage: Eukaryota; Metazoa; Chordata; Mammalia; Didelphimorphia; Didelphidae.